UUGUAUAUUCUCUAUUCAGUAACGCCAUUACACAGCUGUAACAACCUCCAACAGAGCAGAAAUCUCUCUCCAUAGGAUAAACGUGAUCCUGUCUACACAAUAUAUCAAUUCAAAAGCGUCCAAUAUCCCUCACCCCCUUAGCUCUUAUAUAGGAGCUUUAUUUCCCACCUAAACUAAUAAUACUAACAAUAUGAUUAUAACUUUCUAACACCUUUUUCCCUCUUUAUUCCCUAUCAAGGUUCCUGUGAAAUCAGUUAGUGAAUUUC
Molecule: long non-coding RNA, 266 nt
Filed under: Vigna radiata
Lineage: Eukaryota; Viridiplantae; Streptophyta; Magnoliopsida; Fabales; Fabaceae
Description: long non-coding RNA (VRAD_LNC016981)
Source: RNAcentral